This 246-nucleotide unclassified non-coding RNA is filed under the name uncultured fungus. RNAcentral's name for it is "partial contains 5.8S ribosomal RNA, internal transcribed spacer 2, and large subunit ribosomal RNA". The stretch from base 1 to 52 matches the Rfam family "5.8S ribosomal RNA", at positions 103 to 154 of the family's 154-position model. The record is from RNAcentral. Lineage: Eukaryota; Fungi.
AACGCACAUUGCGCCCGCCAGUAUUCUGGCGGGCAUGCCUGUUCGAGCGUCAUUUCAACCCUCAAGCCCUGCUUGGUGUUGGGGACCUACGCACCGCCGUAGGCCCCGAAAGUUAGUGGCGGGCUCGCUAAAGUCCUGAGCGCAGUAGCACAUCUCGCUUAUGGUGUUUUAGUGGGUGCCGGCCGUUAAACCCCCAACUUUAACAAGUUUGACCUCGGAUCAGGUAGGAAUACCCGCUGAACUUAA